This 702-nucleotide ribosomal RNA is filed under the name uncultured bacterium. RNAcentral describes it as "bacterial SSU rRNA". It matches the Rfam family "Bacterial small subunit ribosomal RNA", at positions 36 to 719 of the family's 1533-position model. The record is from RNAcentral.
CUGGCGGCGUGGAUAAGGCAUGCAAGUCGUGCGAUCCCUUCGGGGAUAGCGGCAAACGGGUGAGUAACGCGUAAGUAAUUUACCCCUGCGUAUGGGAUAGCUUGUCGAAAGACAGGGUAAUACCGUAUAUGCUCAUGAGAUCGCAUGAUCUCAUGAGGAAAGAUGGCCUAGACCUUCGGGUUGCUAUCGUGCAGGGAGGAGCUUGCGUCCCAUCAGCUAGUUGGUGAGGUAACGGCUCACCAAGGCGUAUGACGGGUAGCUGGUUUGAGAGGAUGAUCAGCCACACUGGCACUGAGACACUGGCCAGACUCCUACGGGAGGCUGCAGUCGAGAAUAUUUGGCAAUGGACGAAAGUCUGACCAUGCGACGCCGCGUGCAGGACGACGGCCUUCGGGUUAGUAAACUGCUGUUACAGGGGAAGAAGGUUGUUAGCGAAAAUAUCGCUAGUGAUUUGACGGUACCCUGAGAGAAAGCCACGGCUAACUACGUGCCAGCAGCCGCGGUAAUACGUAGGUGGCAAGCGUUGCUCGGAUUUACUGGGUGUAAAGAGUUCGUAGGCUGUUUUGCAAGCCUGACUUGAAAUGCUAUGGCUCAACCAUAGCACGUGGUUGGGAACUGCAGGACUUGAGGAUGACAGAGGCAAGCGGAAUUCCCGGUGUAAGGGUGAAAUCUGUAGAUAUCGGGAGGAACACCAGUGGCGUA